RNAcentral lists this ribosomal RNA (460 nucleotides) under uncultured bacterium. RNAcentral's name for it is "partial 16S ribosomal RNA". It matches the Rfam family "Bacterial small subunit ribosomal RNA", at positions 338 to 795 of the family's 1533-position model. The record is from RNAcentral.
CCUACGGGUGGCAGCAGUGAGGAAUAUUGGUCAAUGGCCUGGAGUCUGAACCAGCCAAGUAGCGUGAAGGAUAACUGCCCUAGGGGUUUUAAACUUCUUUUAUAUGGAAAUAAAAUGUUCCACUUGUGGGAUUUUGUAUGUACCAUAUGAAUACCAAUCGGCUAACUCCUUGCAAGCAGCCGCGGUAAUACGGAGGCUCAGAGGGUUAUCCGGAUUUGUUGGGUUUAAAGGUAGCGUAGGUGGGUUGUUAAGUCAGUUGUGAAAGUUUGCGGCUCAACCGUAAAAGUGCAGUUGAUACUGGCAGGCUGGAGUACAGGAGAGGUGGGCGGAAUUCGUGGUGUAGCGGUGAAAUGCUUAGAUAUCACGAAGAACUCCGAUUGCGAAGGCAGCUCACUGGACUGCAACUGACACUGAGGCUCGAAAGUGUGGGUAUCAAACAGGAUUAGAUACCCUUGUAGUC